GGCUCAUCCCCACUCCUUAACCCAUCCACGCUGAGGAGGGGGCUUGGGGUGGGGGCUUCCAGACUGGCAGGGAGAGGGCAGAGGCAGUCGCCACAGUCUGUGCAGGGGAGUGGGGGCAGGCGCGUUGGGGUGGCUCUCCCGCUGGACGGGCGGAGCUCCCCGGGGGUGGGGGCCGGCGGCCAGCCCUGCAGUGGUUCCUUGGAGGUCACUGCUGCCCUGUCCUGCCAUGGCCGCAUCUGGAAUCACUGUGAAGGGCAGGGUACUUCCCGGUUUCCACUGGGGUCCCCUGCUGAGCCUGGCGGAACAGGAGCAGGCAAGGGUGUGGCAGGUGAGCAGGUUGAGCUGACUUCUGCCAGGGCACCCAGGAGCCUGCAGUGGCCUCCCCCAGCUCUCGGUGCCCUGGGGAACCUUCAUGCUUUCCUGGUGUAGGGCUGGAUGUUCUGCGCACAGAAGCAGCCUGGAGCAAGCAGCUGGGUGGCUGUGUCCCUGUGCUGGCCACUCUGUCCCUCACACUCCAGACGUGGCCCCUGACCCCUGUGCCUGCUGGCUGGUGCAGUAGGACCGUGGUGUGACAGCAGGGGAGGGCAAGGUCAGGGCCUGUACCUCAGGGGGUUUGAGGGGUUCACUGUGUCCUCCAUUUGUCGUGUAACAGAUACCAACAGAACCUCGAAAGAGUUGGGCAAGGGAUGGGGGUCUGGGCAGGGUAGAUUUGGGGCUUAAAUUGGCCUGGCGGUCCUGAGCCAGAUUGAACCCCUGGGCCAGUCAGUGCCCCUCCCCCACAAGCACACCCUGGCCAGAUGAGCUGAUAGAAGCAAGCGGCAUCGCACCUGGUGAACCCAGGUCUCCAGGGAGGCUGUCAGGAUGGCACCCCUCCAAGCUUCAGAUGGGGGUGUGCCUGGACAUAGAAUCUGGGGGGAGACAGGAGCUGUGCACCCACUACAACCCCUGGGAACUGGACGACUGCAGCGGAUGAGCGGUCCCCACCCUAACAGGCUGGCAGGACAGUGGAGAGCUGGUGGAGUUGGAGGGGCCUGCCGGUUGUGGCUGAGGGAGCUUUGGGAGGGUUCCAGAGAGGGAGGGAGGGAGUGUGUGUGUGUCUGAAAAAACUGUGCUAGUACCAACCAGAGGGCAAGGCCCAUUCCCUCCCUUGGCAGCCCCCAGCCCCACCCUGUGGCCAUGGCAGUGGCAGUAACAGCAGAGAAGGCUAGGAAAGGGCACCUCACCCUGGUUUUCGAGGGGAAGCUCCCCCCAAGGGGCAGAGCAGUUUGGAGUCCUCGUGUGGGGGAGGGGCCGCCCUUGCCAUGGGGCAGGCUGAUAGCAGAGAAGACAAGUCUGCCCAGAGUCUGGGUGGGCGGGACAGAAACAUGAGGAGGCAAGUGUCCGAAAUGGCCUCCUGCCUACGUACCCCAGAGACACCCGGAUGGACGCACUCACACAUAGGUGUGCCCUAAGGCACCCCCGUCAUAGCCAUGCCCACAGGCUCCAGGAGGCACCCCCACGCACACCCCCACGUGCACAGCCAGGUGCUGGUGGCUGGCUGUCAGCCUCCCAUGCAUCUUCCCGUUGGAGACAGAGGCAGCCUCACCCUGGCGCCCCCAGGCCUCCAGCCAGCACACCUGUGGGCAGCCGGCUUUGGAAUUGCGAGUGUGUGCCCGGAGCCCGAGGGCCCUUUGUGACCCCGCUGUCUCCCAGGCCGUCCUGGGUCCUGCCCUGCCCCUUUCCGUCACCAGGGGCACCCUGCCGCACCGCCAGUCUAUAUUUUUGCUCCGAGUUGUGCGGGGCCUCCGUGGCCACCGUCUCCCUGCCCCCCUCCUGCUCUCUCAUCCCGGCCUCUUGCCGAUCUUGUUGCCAGGAGACGAGAGAAGUCAGGACCCACCCUACUGCUCCAGCGGUAGCCCAGGGGCCCCAGGGAGACACCAAUGAACAGGCCCCGGAGGCAGGCCCGCCCUCCCUGGGCUGCGGCCUCGACCGCUCCCCGCGCUCGGAGUUUCGCACGGAGAUAAGCAGCGCUCGCCGCCCGGGCGUGGUCACCCCGCCUUUCCCGCGGAGCCCGCGCCCCCCAGCCGACCCACGGGGGACGCCCCCUCUCCGGGUCCUCGCCUUCGAAUUCCUCGGGGCCGUCCCUCUGCGGUCCUUGAGCCUCCCUCGGAGCCGAGUCGGGGGCUCCCAAGGAGGGCGGGCUGCUGGGCCGGGGCGGAGCGCCGCGUGCCGCGAGGGCCGGAGGGGAGGGAGCUCCCGGCGGGCGCCGCACCUGAGAGCGCCGUCUCCCCGGGGGAGGGCCGGGUCACAGUGGGUGGGGGGCUUCCCGGCGCGCCGCUGUGCAGCCAUUCACGCUUUGGAAGGGACCGGGCCCCUCCCCGGCUCGUGCAUAUUUGGGCGCCCCGCAGGUGCCGGCGGGCUGGGCCGGGUGCGCCUUCCCGCUCGUGGGGAGCCCCACCCCUUCGGUGUGUCCCCACGGAUCCCUGCGCCCCUCGGGCCCCGCUGGGCCGUCGGCUGUAGCCGGCCCUGCUCGGAGGCGGGGCGGGUCAGAUGACCUUCCUCGGCCGUUUGGCCUGGAACCGAUGUCCCGGGGUCCAAGUCCCAGACUCGGGGCGGGGCGCGAGGGGCGGGCCUCAAAGGGGCGGGGACCCGGGGUCCCUGAAAGGCGCGCCCUCGGUGGGAGCGACCCAGUCCUCGCUCACGUCUGCUUCCGCGCGGCUCUCUGCAAGGACCCGGCGCCGCCAUGCCCAAGUGCCCCAAGUGCGACAAGGAGGUGUACUUCGAGCAGUGUCCCACAGGGGGCUUCUCUGUGCCUGUGUAGCUGAGCGGGUGACCUCCCUGGGGAAGGACUGGCAUCGGCCCUGCCUGAAGUGUGAGAAGUGUGGAAAGACGUUGACCUCAGGGGGCCACUCUGAG
This is an RNA transcript of Manis javanica (Malayan pangolin), 2895 nucleotides long. It is a transcript of the gene named cysteine-rich protein 1, with no coding region annotated. NCBI's taxonomy places the organism in Eukaryota, Metazoa, Chordata, Mammalia, Pholidota, Manidae. The record is from RefSeq and is a predicted model, not a curated record.